RNAcentral lists this ribosomal RNA (482 nucleotides) under uncultured bacterium. Its description in RNAcentral is "partial 16S ribosomal RNA". It matches the Rfam family "Bacterial small subunit ribosomal RNA", at positions 30 to 507 of the family's 1533-position model. The record is from RNAcentral.
AUUGAACGCUGGCGGCAUGCCUUACACAUGCAAGUCGAACGGUAACAGGUCUUCGGAUGCUGACGAGUGGCGAACGGGUGAGUAAUACAUCGGAACGUGCCUAGUAGUGGGGGAUAACUACUCGAAAGAGUGGCUAAUACCGCAUGAGAUCUACGGAUGAAAGCAGGGGAUCGCAAGACCUUGUGCUACUAGAGCGGCCGAUGGCAGAUUAGGUAGUUGGUGGGAUAAAAGCUUACCAAGCCGACGAUCUGUAGCUGGUCUGAGAGGACGAUCAGCCACACUGGGACUGAGACACGGCCCAGACUCCUACGGGAGGCAGCAGUGGGGAAUUUUGGACAAUGGGCGCAAGCCUGAUCCAGCAAUGCCGCGUGCAGGAUGAAGGCCUUCGGGUUGUAAACUGCUUUUGUACGGAACGAAAAGCCCUGGGUUAAUACCCUGGGGUCAUGACGGUACCGUGAGAAUAAGCACCGGCUAACUACGUG